CUUGACCUCAAAUCAGGCGGGACUACCCGCUGAACUUAAGCAUAUCA
RNAcentral lists this ribosomal RNA (47 nucleotides) under Heterobasidion annosum. RNAcentral's name for it is "partial 28S ribosomal RNA". RNAcentral also lists the same sequence under 3 other names. Lineage: Eukaryota; Fungi; Basidiomycota; Agaricomycetes; Russulales; Bondarzewiaceae. The record is from RNAcentral.